RNAcentral lists this ribosomal RNA (443 nucleotides) under uncultured bacterium. RNAcentral's name for it is "partial 16S ribosomal RNA". It matches the Rfam family "Bacterial small subunit ribosomal RNA", at positions 338 to 795 of the family's 1533-position model. The record is from RNAcentral.
CCUACGGGUGGCAGCAGUGGGGAAUAUUGGGCAAUGGGCGCAAGCCUGACCCAGCAACGCCGCGUGAAGGAAGAAGGCUUUCGGGUUGUAAACUUCUUUUCUCAGGGACGAAGCAAGUGACGGUACCUGAGGAAUAAGCCACGGCUAACUACGUGCCAGCAGCCGCGGUAAUACGUAGGUGGCAAGCGUUCUCCGGAUUUACUGGGUUUAAAGGGCGUGUAGGCGGGACUGCAAGUCAGAGUGGAAAACCCCGGGCUCAACCUGUGGCGUGCAUUUGAAACUGUAGUUCUUGAGUACUGGAGAGGCAGACGGAAUUCCUAGUGUAGCGGUGAAAUGCGUAGAUAUUAGGAGGAACACCAGUGGCGAAGGCGGUCUGCUGGACAGCAACUGACGCUGAGGCGCGAAAGCGUGGGGAGCAAACAGGAUUAGAUAUCCCAGUAGUC